Perca fluviatilis (European perch) is the source of this 712-nucleotide long non-coding RNA. RefSeq lists it as uncharacterized. Lineage: Eukaryota; Metazoa; Chordata; Actinopteri; Perciformes; Percidae. The transcript has 2 exons. The record is from RefSeq and is a predicted model, not a curated record.
UUUCACUGGAAUUCCUUCAUGGAAGAGGAGCCUCUCAUUCAGACACAUUCAGCUCAUUUGGGAUACUGGAGACGCAACCGAUGUCCCCGGUGUCUCUCUGCUGACUCUGACCAAUCAGAUGUCUCCGGUGCCUCUCUGCUGCUUCUCUGACCAAUCAGAUGUCCCCAGUGUCUCUCUGCUGACUCUCUGACCAAUCAGACGUCUCCGUUGCCUCUCUGCUGCUUCUCUGACCAAUCACACUUCUCCGGUGCCUCUCUGCUGACUCUGUGUUGACUCUCUGACCAAUCAGAUGUCUCCAGUGUCUCUUUGCUGACUCUCUGACCAAUCACACGUCUCCAUGUGUCUCUCUGCUGACUCUCUGACCAAUCACACGUCUCCAUGUGUCUCUCUGCUGGCUCUCUGAGUCUCGGCGGGCGUCGGUCAGCCUCCCUGCAGUGUUCGUGUCGGAUAAAGACGGAUGGCGCGCGGCUGAUGACGCGUCUGAUGGCGCUCGCGCUUCAAUGGGAGCACUCGCUCAACACGACAGGCGUGACGGAGGCAGCCGCCGCCGCCGCAGUCGCGCCCGUAGAUUCACCUGAGAGACAUCUACAUAAAGACAGAGACAAGAUAAGAGGAGGGGUUGUGUCGCUCGGCUCCGACUUAUUCACAAGCUAAAAUAAAAAAGGGGAAUGAAUAGAUUAUUAUAUAAAUACAGCAGGAUGUGCUGCGCGAA